RNAcentral lists this ribosomal RNA (252 nucleotides) under uncultured bacterium. RNAcentral's name for it is "partial 16S ribosomal RNA". It matches the Rfam family "Bacterial small subunit ribosomal RNA", at positions 524 to 776 of the family's 1533-position model. The record is from RNAcentral.
UACGUAGGUGGCGAGCGUUGUCCGGAUUUACUGGGCGUAAAGGGAGCGUAGGCGGACUGUCAAGUCAGCGGUAAAAUUGAGAGGCUCAACCUCUUCCCGCCGUUGAAACUGGUGGUCUUGAGUGGAUGAGAAGUACGCGGAAUGCGUGGUGUAGCGGUGAAAUGCAUAGAUAUCACGCAGAACUCCGAUUGCGAAGGCAGCGUACCGGCAUCCAACUGACGCUGAGGCACGAAAGCGUGGGGAUCAAACAGG